GCUCUGGUGGCCUAGUGGUUAGAGCGACCCGCCUCGGAUGCGGGAGAUGGGUUCGAUCCCCGGUCGAGUCA
Potamilus streckersoni is the source of this 71-nucleotide non-coding RNA. The record is from the annotation of a GenBank genome assembly. NCBI's taxonomy places the organism in Eukaryota, Metazoa, Mollusca, Bivalvia, Unionida, Unionidae.